UUGAACAAGUUGUGCUACAAAACAUGCAUGUGGUGAAUUGGUUGCACGUUUGAACAAUUAUAAUCUGAAAAAGUUACCAUGUAAGAUGUCCCCAAUGCCAUAAACAAAACUAAAAGAUUGCUAAAGUUAGCAAUGUUUGUCCAAAAUAGAGCUCACAAUGGUAUAACCAAACUUUAGCAAACCCUUAACCAAUAACCAAAUUUUGGCAUUUGGAUAACCAAAAGUAGCAACCUUUUCUCUUUGUAUAAGCAAAUUUACUGGGGACCUCUCUCUCUCCUCCAAUCACUUCAAUGGACCCACCCACUUACAUUUAUUCCCAACUCUCUCUACUAAAAAUGAAUUUUUUGAUUAUGGACCAUUGUGAUACCCUAAACAUUCCUGAAUUCAAGCCAGCCUUUUCUAAACUACCACUUCUAUAAAACUACAGAUCAUUAUGAAAUAAAAACGAAUUUACCAUCCGUAAAAAGUCAUAUUGUAACAUGAAUUAUACAAACUUACAAAACAAUUUUUCAGAUUUAACAAAUCCACAUCGACCAGAUCAUCCCUUGAUACACAGCUAAUUCCAGAAAAACCAUAUGUGCAUACAUAUGUAUACGGACUUUCAAGUCAAAAAGAGAAAGGAAGAAGUAGAAACGUAGAAGUACGCGUAUGUAAAACAUGAGCUAUGCAACUAUCAUAAGGAGCUUAUCCUGCCGUUAAGUUACAUAAAAUUUAUAAUAAUGCCAAACCCCUAAAGAGUGAAUUUAGUGUAGUCUUCGGUCUUCCACAGUAAACUAUCAUACAAAUACCAAGAGCAUGCGGCACCUAUGAAGACACUUCAUUUUGCUCGCAAUAUACGUGUUAGAGACUACACACAUGUACCGUUGCUAAACAAGCCAAAUGAAUCAGGCAGUGGAUUAUUCAAUCUUGUUUUGAAAACUUAAAAGUUCUAAAAUAGAGUGGUUUACUCGCCACAUGCAUGCUUCUUAGUGUGGCUCUCACUUUACCUUCACCUAUCAAUGCACAUCAUAUAAAAAAUCCCCACAUAAGCCUAUCUAUCUAUCUAUCUAUAUACAUGUAUGUACUGUGUGUGUGUGUGUGUACAAACUUAUCGUUACAUGUAUAUUGGUGAGAACUCUCAAAACAUUAAUAUCAAAAUUGAGUACAUGGUUACAAAUCUACAUUCAGAAAAAGCUUCUCAUUUGGACAACAUUUAACCAUCCAAAAUUUAGUAACACUACACAGAAUUUUUUUUAUAAUGAGAU
Molecule: long non-coding RNA, 1244 nt
Organism: Rhododendron vialii
Lineage: Eukaryota; Viridiplantae; Streptophyta; Magnoliopsida; Ericales; Ericaceae
Exons: 2
Source: RefSeq, a predicted model, not a curated record